RNAcentral lists this ribosomal RNA (254 nucleotides) under uncultured bacterium. RNAcentral describes it as "partial 16S ribosomal RNA". It matches the Rfam family "Bacterial small subunit ribosomal RNA", at positions 524 to 776 of the family's 1533-position model. The record is from RNAcentral.
UACGUAGGGAGCAAGCGUUGUCCGGAAUCAUUGGGCGUAAAGAGCUCGUAGGCGGCUUGGUAAGUCGGAUGUGAAACCUCCAGGCUCAACCUGGAGUCGCCAUCCGAUACUGCCAUAGCUAGAGUCCGGUAGGGGCCCACGGAACUCCUGGUGUAGCGGUGAAAUGCGCAGAUAUCGUAAGGAAGACCAGUGGCGAAGGCGGAUCUCUGGACAGUUACUGACACUGAGGCACGAAGGCCAGGGGAGCAAACGGG